Salvia splendens (bonfire salvia) is the source of this 550-nucleotide long non-coding RNA. RefSeq lists it as uncharacterized. NCBI's taxonomy places the organism in Eukaryota, Viridiplantae, Streptophyta, Magnoliopsida, Lamiales, Lamiaceae. The transcript has 3 exons. The record is from RefSeq and is a predicted model, not a curated record.
GUUCCAGAUUUCUUCCAAAUCGAGAGAUGAUAUUCACGCGAUUCGUCAUCUCUCUCCAGUUUGAAUGAUAUUCACGCUUUUUCAUCCAAAUCUGUUUCAGCAUUUUAGGUUCCACACUUUUGAGUUCCAUAACCUGAUCGAAGACGAUUCUGCCUUCUUUCAGCUCCAUAAUUUUCAUCCGAUUUCAAAUUGCAGACGACAUGGCAACUGAUUCGAUUAUCAGAUUUGAUUUGGAAGUUUUUCCAGAAGAUUGGUGCAUUAUGUGGUACAUGUUGCAGUCCACCAUAUGGUCAAUUGCAAGUUCGGGAAGUAGUUCUGCAAGCUGAUUGGGGUCCAUGAAGGAGAAGGUUGUGAAGUUGAUAACGAAACCAUUGCGUCGGUGUUGAAAAUACGGAGAAAUGUGUCCCCCGUGACUUAAUAAAUUUUGGCAGACAAAAGGAAUAAGAGAGCACUUAGUUCGUUUUGAAGUGCUUGAAGAUUGUAAUUGAACUCCAUGAAUUUUGAUCUGUAAUUGAACUCAAUGAAUUUAAUCUGCUCCGAUUUGUAGCAA